Long non-coding RNA from Nerophis lumbriciformis (worm pipefish), 671 nucleotides. RefSeq lists it as uncharacterized. Lineage: Eukaryota; Metazoa; Chordata; Actinopteri; Syngnathiformes; Syngnathidae. The record is from RefSeq and is a predicted model, not a curated record.
UCUGCUCCCUUGAAGCCUGGCGUGCCUCGGUGAUGCAGAUGGUUGUGCUCUCUGCUUUAAUGACUGACGUUAAUACCAUGCUGAAAGAUGUGUUUACUUUCUUUAUAGGGCGCAGAGGCAGGAGGCCCAUCAAUGGGGGGGUAGCGUACAGAGGAACUGGUGUGUAAUUUUGCCACCUGACACUUGUGCAUCCACCAAUAGAUGAGCCCAGCCGUCUCUACAGGUGACCCAGCACCAUGCCAUAACAUACUCAGCUGGUACACUCAGAUGUUCCCCCAAAGCUCUGGUUCCAUCGUGGCUGACACAAACGAGGAAACCCGAGCCAACGGCUGGAAAAACGAGAGUCGCACUUCUUUAAAGAAAAAAAGAAAAAAAGGUCCAGUGAUUCGAGCAAAUCGUCUCAUGACGUCAUAGAGCUCCUGCACCUCCUUUGGGUAGCAACCCUCCAGUACUGCAAAACCACAAGGGAGAGAGAGAAAAGAAGGGAACAUGAUUCCAGUGACAAAGUGGCAAGAAAAGAAAGAAGAAUAGAGCAAUGUACCUGACCUUUGAACCCGGACACUUGGUCACACUGAAGCAAAAUGUCACACUUUGCCUACUUGCCCUGGUCCCGUGGCCCGGUUCCUUUUUAAUGGGGAUGAAAACGCCAACUCGUCACAACAGAACAGGUG